CCUUCUAUGGGAAAUUCAAAANGUUUUUUGAAACAAAAACCAAAUAAAAGAGUUUUUGGUUUUUAUGUAUUUCUACAAUAAAGUAUUCCUUUAAUAAAUAUAGAUUAAAAUGCUAUNAGAUAGUUUAAAAUGCUAAUAAAAAACUAGCUUUCAAAUAAAUAAUUCAUUUUACAUUAAUUUAAUUCUUAUUUUUAAGAGAUUAAUUUUUAUUAAUUUAGUUAGUUAAAUUUUAGUUAAGAUUAGACUUUAAUUAGAACUAUAAAUUAUAUAUAAUUUAUAGAAUUUUUAAUUCUAAAAAUAAUAUAUAUCUAUAUCUUAGGAUUUCAAUUACUUAAUUAAGUAACAAUUGACUUAUUAAUUAACUUUUCACAAUAGAAGAAAAGAUUUUCUUCUAUUGUGAAAAGUUUAAUAGAACUUAAAUUAAAUUUGAGAUUUAAAUAUUUCCUAUCUUAUAUCUUAUAUAUAUUUUUUAAAAAUUUUUNNCANAUUAAAAAAAGANUUAUAAWUUAUUGUUAAUUUAUNNUUAAUUUUANCNUUAAAAAAUAAAAAANGANAAAUGNUNAAAAAAAAAACNNNNNNUUUUUUUUUUUUUNNNUUUUUUCNNUAANAUUNAAAAAAAAAAAANNNNAAAUUUUUUUUUUUUUUUUUUAUUUUUGUAAAUAUUAAAAAAAAUGAUUUUUCUUCCGUAUCAUUAUUGAUACGGAAAAUAAGAUAAAUGAGAAAAAAAUAGUAAGUUUUAUAAAAAAAGCAAGAUUUUGCCAUUGAGGAUGUCAAAAUAAAAUGAAAAAAAAUCUUUUCUCNNUNUCCAUUC
This 811-nucleotide unclassified non-coding RNA is filed under the name Cyperus ascocapensis. Its description in RNAcentral is "partial contains rpl32 gene (partial), rpl32-trnL IGS and trnL gene (partial)". Lineage: Eukaryota; Viridiplantae; Streptophyta; Magnoliopsida; Poales; Cyperaceae. The record is from RNAcentral.